AAUAUUUAAUAGUUAUUAAGAAUAUUAUUUAGAAGUAGAAUUGAAAUAGUAGUGUUGAAUGAAAAAAUUUUUAUAGAAGAAAUUUAAAAUAAUAAUUUUUUAAUUUUACCUUUUGUAUCAGGGCUUUAUAAUUAUUUACGUAAGUUAAAUAACAAAAUAAUAAAAUUUAAAAAUUUUUUUGGGGUUGUGUAGAAUAAUUUCCUAAAAAUUUUUUUUGAAAUGAAAAGUUGUCGUUUAUUAGGAUAUUUUUUUAGGGGUUAUGUAUUUUAAAUAAAGUAUAAAAAUAUAAAAUUUUUUGGGGGCGAGCUCAAAAAUUUUAAUUAAAAAUGAAUUGUUUUUUAAUGUGGUCUUUAAAUUUGAAAUCGUAAGUUUUUAAAAAAUUAAUUAAAGCAGAAAAUAAUUUUAUAUGGGUAAAUUUUUUUAACUCUUUUUAGAAAAAUAAAAUAUCUUUUAAAUAAUGUAAAUAUAAGUAAAUUUUAGUGUUAAUAUUAUAAGCAAUAAAAAUUUUUUUUAAAAACUUGGUAAUAUAUUUUUUAAUUGUUUAACAAAAACAUUUUCUUUAGAGUAAAUUAAAGAUAAGGCCUGCUCAAUGAAAAUUUAAAUGGCCGCAGUAUAAUGACUGUGCUAAGGUAGCAUAAUAAUUUGCCUUUUAAUUGGGGGCUGGAAUGAAAGGUUUUAUGGAAAAUAGCUGUUUUAAAAUAAAUAAUUGAAUUUAAGUUUUGCAUAAAAACUUGCAAAUUCCCUUAAGGGACGAGAAGACCCUGUGGAUUUUUAUUUGUUGAAAAAUAAAUUUUAUAAUAUUUUAUUUUUUAUUCAAAUUUGGUUGGGAUGACAAUAAAAUUAACUUUAUUAGAGAAAAUAAUGUGGAUCCUUUAUAAGGGCAAAAGAAUAAAUUACCCCAGGGAUAACAGCGUAAUACUUUUGGACAGGACAAAUGGAUAAAAGUGUUUGCGACCUCGAUGUUGAAUUAAAAUAUCUUUAUUAAGCAUAAAUAAUAAAAGUAAGUCUGUUCGACUUUUGAAAUUUUACAUGAUUUGAGUUCAGACCGGCGUGAGCCAGGUCAGUUUCUAUCUUUAAGAAAAUUAAAAAAUAAUAGUACGAAAGGACCUUAUUUUAUUUUG
RNAcentral lists this ribosomal RNA (1121 nucleotides) under Fabaeformiscandona kushiroensis. Its description in RNAcentral is "large subunit ribosomal RNA". The stretch from base 743 to 1078 matches the Rfam family "Archaeal large subunit ribosomal RNA", at positions 2149 to 2717 of the family's 2987-position model. Lineage: Eukaryota; Metazoa; Arthropoda; Ostracoda; Podocopida; Candonidae. The record is from RNAcentral.